RNAcentral lists this ribosomal RNA (239 nucleotides) under uncultured Lactobacillus sp. RNAcentral's name for it is "partial 16S ribosomal RNA". It matches the Rfam family "Bacterial small subunit ribosomal RNA", at positions 125 to 354 of the family's 1533-position model. Lineage: Bacteria; Bacillati; Bacillota; Bacilli; Lactobacillales; Lactobacillaceae. The record is from RNAcentral.
CCGUAGCCCAAGAGAUCGGGAUAACACCUGGAAACAGAUGCUAAUACCGGAUAACAACAGAUGAUGCCUAUCAACUGUUUAAAAGAUGGUUCUGCUAUCACUCUUGGAUGGACCUGCGGUGCAUUAGCUAGUUGGUAGGGUAACGGCCUACCAAGGCGAUGAUGCAUAGCCGAGUUGAGAGACUGAUCGACCACAUUGGGACUGAGACACGGCCCAAACUCCUACGGGAGGCAGCAGAC